This 492-nucleotide ribosomal RNA is filed under the name uncultured bacterium. Its description in RNAcentral is "partial 16S ribosomal RNA". It matches the Rfam family "Bacterial small subunit ribosomal RNA", at positions 29 to 523 of the family's 1533-position model. The record is from RNAcentral.
AUUGAACGCUGGCGGCAUGCUUUACACAUGCAAGUCGAACGGUAACAGGUUAAGCUGACGAGUGGCGAACGGGUGAGUAAUGCAUCGGAACGUGCCCGAUCGUGGGGGAUAACGCAGCGAAAGCUGCGCUAAUACCGCAUACGAUCUGAGGAUGAAAGCGGGGGACCGUAAGGCCUCGCGCGAUCGGAGCGGCCGAUGUCAGAUUAGGUAGUUGGUGGGGUAAAGGCACACCAAGCCGACGAUCUGUAGCUGGUCUGAGAGGACGACCAGCCACACUGGGACGGAGACACGGCCCAGAGUCCUACGGGAGGCAGCGGGGGGGAAGUUGGGAAGAUGGGCGAAAGCCCGAUCAGCCAUGCCGCGUGUGUGAAGAAGGUCUUCGGAUUGUAAAGCACUUUAAGUUGGGAGGAAGGGCAGCUAGCGAAUACCUGGUUGUCUUGACGUUACCGACAGAAUAAGCACCGGCUAACUCUGUGCCAGCAGCCGCCGUAA